GACGAACGCUGGCGGCGUGCCUAACACAUGCAAGUCAAGGGGAAAGUUAGACUUCGGUUUAGCGAGUAUACUGGCGGACGGGUGAGUAACGCGUAGGCAACCUGCCCUUGCGCGUGGGAUAACCCAGCGAAAGUUGGACUAAUACCACAUAAUGCAGCGGAUCCGCAUGGAUAUGUUGUUAAAGGGUGCCUUUCGGGGCAUUUGCGUAGGGAUGGGCCUGCGUUCCAUUAGUUAGUUGGUGAGGUAACGGCUCACCAAGGCGACGAUGGAUAGCUGGUUUGAGAGAGUGAUCAGCCACACUGGGACUGAGAUACGGCCCAGACUCCUACGGGAGGCAGCAGUGAGGAAUAUUGCGCAAUGGAGGAAACUCUGACGCAGCAACGCCGUGUGGGGGAUGAAGUUCUAUGGAGCGUAAACCCCUGUAAGUAGGGACGAAAGGUAGAUAAUCGAACAGGUUAUUUAUUUGACGGUACCUACAGAGUAAGCUCCGGCUA
RNAcentral lists this ribosomal RNA (494 nucleotides) under uncultured bacterium. RNAcentral describes it as "bacterial SSU rRNA". It matches the Rfam family "Bacterial small subunit ribosomal RNA", at positions 28 to 499 of the family's 1533-position model. The record is from RNAcentral.